Molecule: transfer RNA, 57 nt
Filed under: Kryptoperidinium foliaceum
Lineage: Eukaryota; Dinophyceae; Peridiniales; Kryptoperidiniaceae
Source: RNAcentral
AUCCGAUGCGCGCCAGUUACGGCGCGAGCAACUACGUGAUCGCCAUCACCCAGCUCG